RNAcentral lists this small nuclear RNA (98 nucleotides) under Microtus ochrogaster (prairie vole). Lineage: Eukaryota; Metazoa; Chordata; Mammalia; Rodentia; Cricetidae. The record is from RNAcentral.
AUACUCAUGUCAACAGCACAUAUACUAAUAUUGGAAUGAUACAGAGAAGACUAACACGGUGCUGGCAUAAUGACAUGCAAAUCUGUGAUUUUGCUUUU